AGCAGUGUGGCUUAGUGGAAAGAGCUCUGACUUGGGAGUCAGAGGCCGAGGGAUCUAAUCCCGGCUCUGCCA
RNAcentral lists this transfer RNA (72 nucleotides) under Ornithorhynchus anatinus (platypus). It matches the Rfam family "tRNA". From Rfam's summary of the family: Transfer RNA (tRNA) molecules are approximately 80 nucleotides in length. Their secondary structure includes four short double-helical elements and three loops (D, anti-codon, and T loops). Further hydrogen bonds mediate the characteristic L-shaped molecular structure. tRNAs have two regions of fundamental functional importance: the anti-codon, which is responsible for specific mRNA codon recognition, and the 3' end, to which the tRNAs corresponding amino acid is attached (by aminoacyl-tRNA synthetases). tRNAs cope with the degeneracy of the genetic code in two manners: having more than one tRNA (with a specific anti-codon) for a particular amino acid; and 'wobble' base-pairing, i.e. permitting non-standard base-pairing at the 3rd anti-codon position. Lineage: Eukaryota; Metazoa; Chordata; Mammalia; Monotremata; Ornithorhynchidae. The record is from Rfam by way of RNAcentral.